Molecule: ribosomal RNA, 465 nt
Filed under: uncultured Klebsiella sp.
Lineage: Bacteria; Pseudomonadati; Pseudomonadota; Gammaproteobacteria; Enterobacterales; Enterobacteriaceae
Description: bacterial SSU rRNA
Rfam family: Bacterial small subunit ribosomal RNA
Source: RNAcentral
CCUACGGGGGGCUGCAGUGGGGAAUAUUGCACAAUGGGCGCAAGCCUGAUGCAGCCAUGCCGCGUGUGUGAAGAAGGCCUUCGGGUUGUAAAGCACUUUCAGCGGGGAGGAAGGCGUUAAGGUUAAUAACCUUGUCGAUUGACGUUACCCGCCGAAGAAGCACCGGCUAACUCCGUGCCAGCAGCCGCGGUAAUACGGAGGGUGCAAGCGUUAAUCGGAAUUACUGGGCGUAAAGCGCACGCAGGCGGUCUGUCAAGUCGGAUGUGAAAUCCCCGGGCUCAACCUGGGAACUGCAUUCGAAACUGGCAGGCUAGAGUCUAGAAGAGGGGAGUAGAAUUCCAGGUGUAGCGGUGAAAUGCGUAGAGAUCUGGAGGAAUACCGGUGGCGAAGGCGGCCCCCUGGACAAAGACUGGCGCUCAGGUGCGAAAGCGUGGGGAGCAAACAGGAUUAGAUACCCCAGUAGUC